This 221-nucleotide long non-coding RNA is filed under the name Chrysolophus pictus (golden pheasant). Its description in RNAcentral is "lncRNA (ENSCPIG00010005667.1)". Lineage: Eukaryota; Metazoa; Chordata; Aves; Galliformes; Phasianidae. The record is from RNAcentral.
GUAUUUGCUCCUUUUUCCACAGCAGGGAAGAUAUCCCACCUGCCUGUUAUGUUAUUCGCCUCUUCAGCUCUGACCAUAGAUGAUUUUUCAUAUAUUGUGGAAACCUGAGCUGAAGUAUCGUGAGACUUACAGCGUGAUAACGACACCAAAAAUUCUCCAUCAUCUUGUCUUUGACGUGAUCCACUGAUCGGAAUCUGUUUGUUCACUGAUCGGAAAGGACA